This 70-nucleotide microRNA precursor is filed under the name Human betaherpesvirus 5. RNAcentral describes it as "microRNA hcmv-mir-US33 precursor". Its record names the gene hcmv-mir-US33. The record is from miRBase by way of RNAcentral. Lineage: Duplodnaviria; Heunggongvirae; Peploviricota; Herviviricetes; Herpesvirales; Orthoherpesviridae.
CACGGUUGAUUGUGCCCGGACCGUGGGCGCGACGAAACCCACCGUCACGGUCCGAGCACAUCCAAACGUG